AGCUCAAAUUUGAAAUCUGGCUGGUUUACUAGUCCGAGUUGUAAUUUGUAGAGGAUGUUUUGGGUACCGCACUGGUUUAAAUUUCUUGGAACAGAAUGUCAGAGAGGGUGAGAAUCCCGUCUUGGACCGGCGUAGGGCCCGUGUAAAACUCCUUCGAC
RNAcentral lists this ribosomal RNA (158 nucleotides) under Trichomeriaceae sp. RNAcentral describes it as "partial large subunit ribosomal RNA". It matches the Rfam family "Eukaryotic large subunit ribosomal RNA", at positions 106 to 261 of the family's 3401-position model. Lineage: Eukaryota; Fungi; Ascomycota; Eurotiomycetes; Chaetothyriales; Trichomeriaceae. The record is from RNAcentral.